AGCGAACGUUAGCGGCGCGCCUAACACAUGCAAGUCGCACGAGAAACGGAGCAAUCCGCGGUACAGUGGCGCACGGGUGAGUAACACGUGGAUGACCUUCCCUGGAGUGGUGGAUAACCUGCCGAAAGGCGGGCUAAUACAGCAUGGGACCACGACGCUUUGGCGAUGUGGUGAAAGCGGGCCUCUAUAUAUAAGCUCGCGCUCCGGGACGGGUCCGCGUCCCAUCAGCUAGUUGGUGAGGUAACGGCUCACCAAGGCAACGACGGGUAGCU
This 272-nucleotide ribosomal RNA is filed under the name uncultured bacterium. RNAcentral's name for it is "partial 16S ribosomal RNA". It matches the Rfam family "Bacterial small subunit ribosomal RNA", at positions 29 to 288 of the family's 1533-position model. The record is from RNAcentral.